ACGGUCUCGUGUAGCCUAGGCUGGCUCAAGCUCGCCAUGUAGCUGAGGAUGGCCUAUUACAGUGGAAUUUCAAGUCAAGAGGAGCAGAUGAGCAGUGUCAAGGAAAACACCCUUUGCAGACAGUGACAGGACCUGUCCUCCAGAAAUGAGGCGACAAAGAUCACAUAAAUGUUUAAUUUUACUGUGCAUAUUAAUGUAACCAUUGAACACACUUGGCUCCGAAGCAAAUUACUUGUCACAGAAUGAGGAUGAGGGGCACGUGCUGUGUCUGGCAUGUACUUACUUACAUGCAAUAGACAAAGAAUGGAAACAAUCUUCAUGUCUUCCCAAUGAAGAAAAAGAAAAAAAGUACCUGUAUAUAAUGCAAAACAGUUCAUCUUAAAACAGAUGGGAUCUUUCUAUUGAUACCAACAUGGAUGGGACUGAAGAUUAAUAUAAGCCAGGCACAGGAGGUGCAUACUGUCUUAUUGCACUCAUGUGAGGACUGUAAAAUAGCUGUUGAGGGCAGAAUGGUGGUUACCAGAUUCUGGAGAGAGUGGCUGGGAAAAGUUGACUAGUGAGUACUAUGCUAUAGUUAAUUUAACACAGGCAUGAAGUUCUGUAUUCUAGUGUGGACUACAGUGACUGUGGACAAUGGUGAUGCACUGUGUUGUGAUGUUUAAUCUUGGCUGUCAACUUGAUUAAAUCAACUAAGAGACAA
Mesocricetus auratus (golden hamster) is the source of this 700-nucleotide long non-coding RNA. RefSeq lists it as uncharacterized. The record is from RefSeq and is a predicted model, not a curated record. NCBI's taxonomy places the organism in Eukaryota, Metazoa, Chordata, Mammalia, Rodentia, Cricetidae. The transcript has 2 exons.